CACCUCGCUUCGGGGGAGUAGCUAACUGGAUUUCGAGCCAUCGAUAUUCAGGGUGAACAUCAACAUACUUGGCCGCAUGCCAUGGUGUUCACAGCAAAUCAUCGAUUUGUCCUGCAAGACCUGAGCACAGUAA
Molecule: unclassified non-coding RNA, 133 nt
Filed under: Shewanella sp. MR-4
Lineage: Bacteria; Pseudomonadati; Pseudomonadota; Gammaproteobacteria; Alteromonadales; Shewanellaceae
Also listed under: 1 other name
Description: yybP-ykoY element as predicted by Rfam
Rfam family: Manganese Mn2+ riboswitch aptamer (yybP-ykoY) (bases 13-111)
About the family: This RNA was originally discovered in E. coli during a large scale screen and was named SraF. The family was later found to exist upstream of related families of protein genes in many bacteria, including the the yybP and ykoK genes in B. subtilis.
Source: RNAcentral